AUGGUGAUGUUGAGUUUUAUGACCGCAUCGCCAGUAGUAAAUUCAUCGUUUCUAUCAACGGCCGUUCCGACAACGGUUUCAGCGCCACGGAGACUCGCCGUGUCAUUAGGGAUCGAUCAGCAAAUAAAUGAGACGGGGAUCUGGGGAACGCUCUCAGCGGAGUUUUUAAGCUACGCAAUCGCUCUGUUCGUCUACGCGGUGAGAUACCCGGCCGUUUUCUGGAACACCAACAAGUGGUUCAGCGUCCUCUUCUCGUUUCAGUUGUUCGUCAACGGAUUUCAAUCAAUUCUCCUCUACACCGGUGUUUCCAUCCUCUAUAAGAUCCACGUUUUGGGUCCCUCGGAGAUGGUGUCCACUGGUGCGGCACAUCGCGGGGCGAGCAGGGCUGGGCUCGCGGCUCAAGAGCCCUUUCAUUCUGAACACGCACGUUACUCUCGCAUUGUUUGCCAUGUCGACCAUCCUCCUUCUGUUUUCAAGUCAUGUCCUCUACCUCUACGGCUACGGCAGGUUCAACGCGUUCCUGAACCGGGAGAAGGCGCGGCAGGUGAUCAGCAUCCGGGAGAGCGACUCGAGCCGCGGGUGGGGCUACUUCACGCACUGCGCCGCGCUGAGCGUCCUCCUGGCGGUCGUCGUCUGCGAGGCCCCGCUCAUCUACGACUUCUCGCUCGUCUACCGGGGGAGCCUCGACAUCGCCGUCCUCGUCAGCGUCCUCGGCGCCAUCCUCCACGUCUUCCUCUGGGUCCUCCUCUGGCUCAUCCUCACCAUCAAACAGGAAUGGGUAUUCAAAGUGCGAGUGACGAUAGGGCGAGCGGCGGUUCGGUCGGCCAAGUCGAUCAAGCUGGUGACGGAUGUGGAUCUGAUAGCCUCGACCGCGGAGGGCAUGGACGCCCCGCUCUGGUCGUCGGCGGUGGCACCACCUACACCGUCACAGAUACCUCCCCCAAAAAAGCAAUCAUGAGUCUAGUCAAGAGUGCCAACUCGGAAUCCAACGACAAGAGUCCAGGCAAACCAACUACUUUAACAGAUGAUGGCGAGGAACAAAUCUACUGGUUAAGGCCGAAAUCCAGAACGCCAAAAGGAUCUCCAGAUUCUGAAUCGUCGGAUCGGAUGGGUUGGCUGACAAAUAAAUCCUGCAGAGUUGCUGUUGACUUCAACCAAAAAUCUGAUGGAGAGGUGGGCAAGAAGAAAAACCGCCAGUCAGGUAACUUUGAUGAUGAUGGAGACUACGCUCGUUUAAGAGAACUUCCGCCAUUCAAUGGAGUUCCUGCUCCGACAGAGCAGAGUGAAGACACAGGUUCCGAAGACAAUAAGCUGCUGGACAGAGUGAGGGACGAAAGUGUAACGUACGCGUCUAAUAAGCAUCCCCAGCCGCACCCAAAGGACUACGAGGAUCCAAGCCCCCUCCUCACUCCAGAACCGCAAGACGAUUACCUACCUCCCCCUCCCCCCAUAUCACCAGAACCAAACUCACAACAAAACACGAGUAAUGAUUCACAGGGAUUACCACGGUGUUUGCAGCGAGCAGAUUCAGGUAUGGCACAAGAAGAGCUGACGCCCCGCUCGGACUCGAUCAGUACAGUAGGGUCAGGAGGCUCGCCACCCGACUGCAAUGGCUCCAAUAGCGAAAGCUCCAGCGGUGUCCACUCCAACUCCAGCCACAGCAGUGGUAUUGGGUGCCAGGGGGACAAGAACGGCAUCGGCAGCUCAAGCGAAGCGGUGCACCGAUGGAAGGCUAAUUCUUUGCAGAACAAGCUCCAGGCCAUGAACAACAACAUGAUGAACAUGGUCAACAGCCGGCACUCACUCAACGAGCCCCUCUACAGCUCUGGAGUCUACCGGCCGCAACAGAUCUAUGCAGCCACCAACAAGGGCGCCCCUGUCAUCAAUGAGGUUGCUGAAGAAAACACAGUAGUAAUCAGGCGGAAGCCGAUGAUCAGGCCAAAAACAGCCGAGAUCUACCAGCAGACGGGGCCACGCGAUGCCUUCGGACGAUCGACAAAUAUCCGUCUCACAUCGUUCAUGGACUUGCCAGACUCGAAAAAAUCAAUCUCCACCAUGCCACACUUCCCAACACAGCCGAUGGGCGUCUCAUAUCCAGUUUGUUCGACUAUGCCCCUGCCUGCGCCCAACCACCUGCACGCCACAGCUCACCUCGACGGAGGUGUCAGCUACAGCUCGUUCCCCCGACCGAGGCAGCAUACCACCAUCCCAGUCCACCACAACGGCGUUCGCCUCUUCAAUCCCAACUCCCCUUGCAAGAGGAUCCUGCCUCAGUCUCAGUAUCAAGUUAAGGCUCCCCUUAGGGAGAAUGGUCACAGCUGCCCUAUGUCUAACUACUCACACAACCAUCACACCUUCCCGCAGUUACCGAUAAAUGUUGAGUCUGCUACAAUUCAGCACGACUCCAAUCAUUUUAACUCCCUCGUCAAAAUCGAGAGCACAGCAAGGUCGUAA
Molecule: long non-coding RNA, 2454 nt
Filed under: Bemisia tabaci
Lineage: Eukaryota; Metazoa; Arthropoda; Insecta; Hemiptera; Aleyrodidae
Description: lncRNA ENSSSA3NGG003667
Source: RNAcentral